UAACUCUGGAACUGCCAUUAAAACUUUUCAGCUAGAGUAUGAUAGAGGAAAGCAGAAUUUCUAGUGUAGAGGUGAAAUUCGUAGAUAUUAGAAAGAAUACCAAUUGCGAAGGCAGCUUUCUGGAUCAUUACUGACACUGAGGAACGAAAGCAUGGGUAGCGAAGAGGAUUAGAUACCCUCGUAGUCCAUGCCGUAAACGAUGUGUGUUAGACGUUGGAAAUUUAUUUUCAGUGUCGCAGGGAAACCGAUAAACACACCGCCUGGGGAGUACGACCGCAAGGUUAAAACUCAAAUGAAUUGACGGGGACCCGCACAAGUAGUGGAGCAUGUGGUUUAAUUCGAAGAUACGCGCAGAACCUUACCAACACUUGACAUGUUCGUCGCGACUCUAAGAGAUUAGAGUUUUCGGUUCGGCCGGACGAAACACAGGUGCUGCAUGGCUGUCGUCAGCUCGUGUCGUGAGAUGUUGGGUUAAGUCCCGCAACGAGCGCAACCCUCACUUUUAGUUGCCAUCAUUAAGUUGGGCACUCUGAAAGAACUGCCAGUGAUAAGCUGGAGGAAGGUGGGGAUGACGUCAAGUCCUCAUGGCCCUUACGUGUUGGGCUACACACGUGCUACAAUGGUAUUUACAACAGGAAGCAAGACUGCGAGGUCAAGCAAAUCCCUAAAAGAUACCUCAGUUCGGAUUGCACUCUGCAACUCGAGUGCAUGAAGCUGGAAUUACUAGUAAUCGUGGAUCAGCGUGCCACGGUGAAUGCGUUCCCGGGUCUUGUACACACCGCCCGUCACACCAUGGGAGUUGGUUCUACCUUAAGGCAAGGUUUCAAACCCUUGACCACGGUAUAGUCAGCGACUGGGGUGAAGUCGUAACAA
This 873-nucleotide ribosomal RNA is filed under the name marine metagenome. RNAcentral describes it as "bacterial SSU rRNA". It matches the Rfam family "Bacterial small subunit ribosomal RNA", at positions 610 to 1494 of the family's 1533-position model. The record is from RNAcentral.